CAACCCUUUUAUGAGGUUCCGUGUCCUUCAGUACUUAUUUUAUAUUUUUGUCUUCCAGAGAGGGAAGCACUAACAAUCUGGCGCCAUACCAGUCAGCCUUCUUCAAGCAGUCGACAGCCGCGCCUCUCUCCAGCAGGGAAGGGAUUCCUCGGAGGCUGCAAUCAAUCCUGUGUGUGUUCUUUCUUUAGAGCAAGCUCUGCCGAAUGCAGGGGUACUUCCUAAGCAUGCACAGAAUCAGGCUGCAUAGCUUUGUGUAAGAAACCUGCAAGGUGAAGUUACAUUUUUAUGUACCAGAAGUGGUGUUGUUAAAUAGCCUCUGCUCUGUACCUAUAAUAAUACACAUUCUUAACUCGA
Long non-coding RNA from Hemicordylus capensis (graceful crag lizard), 354 nucleotides. RefSeq lists it as uncharacterized. Lineage: Eukaryota; Metazoa; Chordata; Lepidosauria; Squamata; Cordylidae. The transcript is spliced from 2 exons. The record is from RefSeq and is a predicted model, not a curated record.